RNAcentral lists this ribosomal RNA (426 nucleotides) under uncultured bacterium. RNAcentral's name for it is "partial 16S ribosomal RNA". It matches the Rfam family "Bacterial small subunit ribosomal RNA", at positions 354 to 796 of the family's 1533-position model. The record is from RNAcentral.
GUGAGGAAUAUUCCGCAAUGGGGGAAACCCUGACGGAGCAAUGCCGCGUGCAGGAUGAAGGCCCUCGGGUCGUAAACUGCUUUUAUAUGAGAAGAAUAUGACGGUAACAUAUGAAUAAGGGACGGCUAACUACGUGCCAGCAGCCGCGGUCAUACGUAGGUCCCAAGCGUUAUCCGGAGUGACUGGGCGUAAAGAGUUGCGUAGGCGGCUCGUUAAGAGUGAAAUGAAAUUUAUCGGCUCAACCGGUAAACUAUUUCGCGAACUGACGGGCUCGAGAGUAUGAGAGGUUACUGGAAUUUCUAGUGUAGCAGUGAAAUGCGUAGAUAUUAGAAAGAACACCAACGGCGUAGGCAGGUAACUGGCAUACAUCUGACGCUGAGGCACGAAAGCGUGGGGAGCGAACCGGAUUAGAUACCCUUGUAGUCC